AACAAGAUGAAGGCUAUGAUAUAUUAAGUUUUGAAGAAAAUCUCUCAAAUUGAUAACUUUUUUUCAAGAGUUUUUGAGUUUUAUUUCAGAAUCUUGCAUUUAACCCAAUUACUCAAAAUUAAUUACCUUAUAUGAUAUUAAAUUAGAAAAUCAUAUGAAUAUUUGCUUUUUUUUAUUUCAAUUUUGUUGUGGUUUAACAUCCAAUUAUAUCUUUUUGUUUAUUUCAUAUUUCAUAAGAUAAAGAGCAAAAUUAAGAUCUCGGAUAUAUAUAUACAUAUUCUUUCUAGCUUGUUAUUGUUUAAAUCAUUAUUUUGCAUGG
RNAcentral lists this long non-coding RNA (319 nucleotides) under Elaeis guineensis (African oil palm). RNAcentral describes it as "long non-coding RNA (EGUI_LNC008872)". The record is from RNAcentral. Lineage: Eukaryota; Viridiplantae; Streptophyta; Magnoliopsida; Arecales; Arecaceae.